AGAGAGAGACAUGCGCGCAUAUCAAUAAGCGGAGGAAAAGAAACUAACAAGGAUUCCCCUAGUAACGGCGAGUGAAGCGGGAAGAGCUCAAAUUUGAAAUCUUAAAGGGUUUCCCUUUACGAAUUGUAGUUUAAAGAAGUGUUUUCUGUUGAGGUUUUGGUAAAAGUUCUUUGGAAUAGGACAUCAUAGAGGGUGAGAAUCCCGUAUUUGACCUUUACUUUCAACUUUGUGAUACACUUUCAAAGAGUCGGAUUGUUUGGGAAUGCAGUCCAAAAUGGGUGGUAAAUUUCAUCUAAAGCUAAAUAUUGGCGAGAGACCGAUAGCGGACAAGUACCGUGAGGGAAAGAUGAAAAGAACUUUGAAAAGAGAGUUAAACAGUACGUGAAAUUGUCAAAAGGGAAGCGUUUGACACCAGUGUUGUUUUUCUGAAAAUCAAUUAAAGAACUGUUUAUGCUAAGUUGUUUAGACUUUAUCAGCUAACUGUUUAGUUUUGAGCUUUUCUUUAAUGCACUUUUCAGUUAACAAGUCAACAUCAAUUUCUUUUGCUGUAAAAAAGCUUGAGGAAGGUGGCUUGAGAUUCGUCUUAAGUGUUUAUAGCCUCUUGCCUAUGCAGUCGGAGAGAUUGAGGUCUGCAGCGUAGAUCCUUCGGGGCUAAAUGCAUUUGUGCUAAGUUAUAGCAUUUUAUAGACAACUUGUUGACUAUGAUUUGUCUUGUAGCUUACUCGCUUAUGUUAUUUUACCUACGCUUAGGAUGUUGACGCAUGAGAUAUACGC
This 774-nucleotide ribosomal RNA is filed under the name uncultured Neocallimastigales. Its description in RNAcentral is "partial large subunit ribosomal RNA". It matches the Rfam family "Eukaryotic large subunit ribosomal RNA", at positions 23 to 646 of the family's 3401-position model. Lineage: Eukaryota; Fungi; Neocallimastigomycota; Neocallimastigomycetes; Neocallimastigales. The record is from RNAcentral.